Cajanus cajan (pigeon pea) is the source of this 293-nucleotide non-coding RNA. The record is from RefSeq and is a predicted model, not a curated record. NCBI's taxonomy places the organism in Eukaryota, Viridiplantae, Streptophyta, Magnoliopsida, Fabales, Fabaceae.
CAUCAUUCAUUAAUAAAAAUAUAUAAAAAGAAAAGAUGACAUUUUGCUAAGUACUCACUGAUCCGACGCGUAGUCUGAAAGAGACGAUGACGUCCUCUGCAACAGACGAUAACCCAAGAUCCGUGAAAAGAGUAGCUGUUGUUGGUGCCGGGGUAAGUGGGCUUGCUGCAGCUUACAAAUUGAAAUCACAUGGUCUGGAUGUCACUGUAUUUGAAGCUGAAGGAAGAGCUGGAGGGAGGUUGAGAAGUGUUUCUCGGGAUGGUCUAAUUUGGGAUGAGGGAGCUAAUACAAUG